Molecule: ribosomal RNA, 486 nt
Filed under: uncultured bacterium
Lineage: Bacteria
Description: partial 16S ribosomal RNA
Rfam family: Bacterial small subunit ribosomal RNA
Source: RNAcentral
AUUGAACGCUGGCGGCAUGCCUUACACAUGCAAGUCGAACGGCAGCACGGGUGCUUGCACCUGGUGGCGAGUGGCGAACGGGUGAGUAAUACAUCGGAACAUGUCCUGUAGUGGGGGAUAGCCCGGCGAAAGCCGGAUUAAUACCGCAUACGAUCUACGGAUGAAAGCGGGGGACCUUCGGGCCUCGCGCUAUAGGGUUGGCCGAUGGCUGAUUAGCUAGUUGGUGGGGUAAAGGCCUACCAAGGCGACGAUCAGUAGCUGGUCUGAGAGGACGACCAGCCACACUGGGACUGAGACACGGCCCAGACUCCUACGGGAGGCAGCAGUGGGGAAUUUUGGACAAUGGGCGAAAGCCUGAUCCAGCAAUGCCGCGUGUGUGAAGAAGGCCUUCGGGUUGUAAAGCACCUUUGUCCGGAAAGAAAUCCUUGGCCCUAAUACGGUCGGGGGAUGACGGUACCGGAAGAAUAGGCACCGGCUAACUACGUG